Molecule: ribosomal RNA, 253 nt
Filed under: uncultured bacterium
Lineage: Bacteria
Description: partial 16S ribosomal RNA
Rfam family: Bacterial small subunit ribosomal RNA
Source: RNAcentral
UACGUAGGGUGCGAGCGUUAUUCGGAAUUAUUGGGCGUAAAGGGCGCGUAGGCGGCUUUAUAAGUCGGGGGUGAAAGCCUGUGGCUCAACCACAGAAUUGCCUUCGAUACUGUAGAGCUUGAGACCGGAAGAGGUAAGUGGAACUGCGAGUGUAGAGGUGAAAUUCGUAGAUAUUCGCAAGAACACCAGUGGCGAAGGCGGCUUACUGGUCCGGUUCUGACGCUGAGGCGCGAAAGCGUGGGGAGCAAACAGG